This 69-nucleotide transfer RNA is filed under the name Ictidomys tridecemlineatus (thirteen-lined ground squirrel). RNAcentral's name for it is "Spermophilus tridecemlineatus (thirteen-lined ground squirrel) tRNA". It matches the Rfam family "tRNA". From Rfam's summary of the family: Transfer RNA (tRNA) molecules are approximately 80 nucleotides in length. Their secondary structure includes four short double-helical elements and three loops (D, anti-codon, and T loops). Further hydrogen bonds mediate the characteristic L-shaped molecular structure. tRNAs have two regions of fundamental functional importance: the anti-codon, which is responsible for specific mRNA codon recognition, and the 3' end, to which the tRNAs corresponding amino acid is attached (by aminoacyl-tRNA synthetases). tRNAs cope with the degeneracy of the genetic code in two manners: having more than one tRNA (with a specific anti-codon) for a particular amino acid; and 'wobble' base-pairing, i.e. permitting non-standard base-pairing at the 3rd anti-codon position. The record is from Rfam by way of RNAcentral. Lineage: Eukaryota; Metazoa; Chordata; Mammalia; Rodentia; Sciuridae.
GGGAUUGUGGCUCAGUGGUAGAGCAUUUGCCUCGCAAGUAUGAGGCUCUGGGUUCAAUCCUCAGCACCG